UCUUUCUAUCAUUUCAUUGCCCAGUUUACGAUUUCAUUUUUCAAAACUUUCCUUCUGAAACAUUUCAUUUUCUUUUUUGUUUUGAAACUUUCUCUCUUCCAUUCUUCAUCUCCUAAAGCUUUCCUAAUCUGGUUCACAUACCCAAUCGUACCUUUUUUGCUCUUCGGCAUAGUCAGGGACCUCCAUUUCCAGGUAUAUCUCCUUUUUCCUUCUUAGAGUUUCUGUUGCAAGAAUAUGUGCAAGAUUAUUUGCAGUUCUUGGUGUAUGUUGGAAUCUGAUAUUAUUGGAGCCACUUAUUUUCUGUUGGAUAUCAUAAAUAUAUGCCCCUACCAGUGAUCGAUCUUGACCCUUUAUGUUGCAUUUCUUUAUUAUUGCGAAGGAAUCUCCUUCAAAGAUGAUUGACUGCCAUCCAUUUUCGACUCCUAUUUGAACUGCUUUCCAACACGCUAUUGCUUCAGCAGCAAAUGCAGAGGUAAUGUCAUUGUGGAUCUCUGAACAGGAUAAAAGAACUUUUCCUUCCGCAUCUCUGGCCAUAAUACCUGAAGCUGAACGGUUCUGACUCUCAUUGUAUGCACUGUCGAAGUUAAUCUUGAUGAACUCACAAUGUGGGUGCCUCCAUCUUUUGUUUUCUGUUAUUAUUACCGAUUUUCUUUUUUCGAAACCAGUAAGCUCAGUAAUGUAGUUACUGAUGAAGUUUGCAAUUUCUUUUCCGUUACUGACUUUUUCCUCGUGUAUUCUUCUGUUUCGAUCUCCCCAUAUGGCCCAAAGUGCGUAGCAGAAAAGGCGACCUUGACAAGGGGUGAGCUGUUCAAACACCCAGGUAAGCCACUGUACGAAGUCCAUGCUCUGGUUCAUUAUAAUAUUCUGAAGUGAUAGUUGUAAUAGGCCCAUUUGCCCGGCCCGUAAACCAAAUCAAAAUAUAAACAAAAUAAAAAUUAAUAACAGUCCAGAAAUAGUCCAUAUACCUAGGCCCAAAUUGUUUUUAACCCACUAGCCUAUCCCAAUUUCCUCAAUCCAGUUAGCCUAACACUUAACCCGGACCCAAGGCAUAACGCAGCCCAAAACAAAAAUCAGAAGCAAGAAACACUAGAAAACCCUGGGCGCUGCAUGACUGCACAGCCAGCACACUCCCCUCUCGUGCGUGUGCCACCACACCUUCGAGCCGCUCCUCACACGCGCCUCUGUACGAUCAUGUACCUACAAAUGACAAAAGAAAUAAGCAACAAAACAGAGAAAAGGGGCAACAGAGGGGAUGGGGAGAGGAUUUUUCUUUUUAUUUUCUUUUUUUUUUUUAUUUUCUUUGUAAUGCUGGCCAUAAAAAAGGGCCAUUCGAAUAUUGUAAAGGACCACGCAUUCAGAAUAGAAAAAAAGG
RNAcentral lists this long non-coding RNA (1372 nucleotides) under Gossypium barbadense (sea-island cotton). RNAcentral describes it as "long non-coding RNA (GBAR_LNC018412)". Lineage: Eukaryota; Viridiplantae; Streptophyta; Magnoliopsida; Malvales; Malvaceae. The record is from RNAcentral.